GAUUUAAACAAUAACUCCAUAUAAAUAUGCAUCAACUUUGAAUUUUCAGCUCAAACAAAUGAGUAAACUCUGCAAACUUAGCUGCAAAUUUGAACCAAAAUCCCUCAAAAAUGGUGUAACUCAAUCUUGUUUCAGAUUCUUCACAGUUUCAUCAUCUUUACAUCAUCGCUCCGAAGAAGAAAACUAUACUGUUAUUCGUCGUAAUAGACGAACCCAACGCCAUUAUUUAAGCAAAUUAUUAUUCACAUUAUCUACAACCCAUUGUAAAGAAAUCCACACCCAAGUGAUUCUUUGUGGAUUUGAAAACAACCCUUUUCUUAACAACAUCUUGAUUCAAUCAUAUUCGACUAGGGGGUGUUUGGACUAUGCACGCAAAGUGUUUGAUAAAAUGCCUAAAAGGGAUAUGAUUUCUUGGUCUUCUGUUAUUACUAUGUAUACCCAAAAUGGGGUUUAUGAUGAAUCAUUGUCGCUUUUUGCUGAGUUGAGGAGAAGUUGUAAAGAGGGGGAGGGGCCAAAUGAGUUUGUUUUGGCUAGUGUUGUUAGUUGUUGUGGAAGGUUAGGUAGUAUUGUGAAAGGUGAGGAAUUGCAUUGUUUUGUGUUGAAAGCUGGUUUUGAUCAGUUUGUGUAUGUAGGGACGUCUUUGAUUGAUUUUUACUCGAAGGGUGGAGAUGUAGGGUCAGCGAGGCGAGUUUUUGAUGAUUUGGUGGUGAAGAGUACGGCUACUUGGACUGCGAUUAUUGCAGCGUGUGUGAAUGUGGGGAAGAGUGAAAUUUCAUUGCAGCUAUUGAGGAAUAUGUUGGAGACUGAUGUUGCACCUGAUAAUUAUGUGGUUUCGAGUAUCUUGGGUGCUUGUUCGUCGCUUGAGUAUAUUAAAGGAGGAAAGGAAAUUCAUGGUUAUGUGCUUAGACGGGGAGCGGAGAUGGAUGUUAUAGUGAGUAAUGUUCUUAUUGAUUUCUAUAUGAAGUGUGGCAAGGUUAGGACUGCAAGGUCAGUUUUUGAUCGAAUGGAAGUUAAAAACGCUAUUUCUUGGACAACGAUGAUCUCUGGAUACAUGCAGAAUUCUUCUGACUGGGAAGCCAUAAGCAUGUUUAGAGACUUUAACGGUUUGGGUUGGAUUCUAGAUAGAUUUGCUUGUAGUAGUGUACUUAUUUCUUGUGGGUCGGUUGAAGCUUUAGAGCUGGGAAGACAAGUGCAUGCUUAUACCGUGAAAGCUAAUGUCGAUUCUGAUGAAUAUGUGAAGAAUAGCUUGAUUGAUAUGUACGCGAAAUGUAAUUCAUUUGGUGACGCAAGGAAGGUUUUUGACAUUAUGGGUGAUCAUGACGUAAUCUCUUACAAUGCUGUAAUUGAGGGUUGUUUAACGCAGAAUAGGCUAUAUGAAGCUUUUGAUCUAUUUGCUGAAAUGAGAGAGAAUCUGAUUCCUCCAAGCCUUUUGACUUUUGUUAGCUUGCUGGGUGCAUCAGCUUCGCUUUUCUCCUUGGAGUUAAGUACGCAACUUCACGGUCUUACCAUAAAAUUUGGUUUUUCUGCUGACAUGUUUGUUUGUAGCAUCCUAGUAGAUGUUUACUCGAAAUGUUUGUCUAUUGGAGAUGCGAGGCAAGUAUUCAAUGAAAUGAAUGAAAAGGAUAUUGUUGUAUGGAACUCUAUGUUGUUUGGGUACAUGCAACAGUGUGAAAUUGAAGAGGCUCUAAAGCUCUUCCUACUAUUGCGUCAGUCUUUGCAAAAGCCAAACGCGUUGACUUUUGUUGCCCUCAUUGCUGCAUCUAGUAACCUAGUAAGUCUGCUUCAUGGUCUCCAGUUUCAUAACCAGAUUGUAAAACUCGGCCUAGAUUUUGAUCUGCAUGUUACAAAUGCACUCGUCGAUAUGUACUCCAAGUGUGGUAGCUUGGAAGAGGCACGUAAGAUGUUUAAUUCCACUAUCCAGAGAGAUAUCGCGUGUUGGAAUUCUAUGAUAUCCACUUAUGCACAGCACGGAGAAGCAAAGGAAGCUCUUAAUAUGUUUGAGAAAAUGAUAAAAGAUGGAUUGAAACCCAACAAUGUCACCUUUGUUGGAGUGCUUUCAGCAUGUAGCCAUGUUGGUCUUGUAAAAGAAGGAUUUCGUCACUUCUAUUCCAUGGACGGCUACGGUAUUGAACCAGAAAUGGAGCAUUAUGUUUGCAUGGUGUCUCUCUUGGGUCGAGCUGGUAAACUGGUCGAAGCAACGGAACUCAUUGAAACAAUGCCAAUUCCACCGGCCGCCAUUGUGUGGAGGAGUUUGCUUAGCGCGUGUAGAGAAGCUGGUCAUAUUGACCUGGGUAAAUAUGCAGCAUCAAUGGCGAUAUCAAUAGAUCCAAAAGACAGUGGAUCACAUAUCCUACUUUCAAAUAUUUUUGCAUCUAAAGGCAUGUGGAUCAAUGUCAAAAAGUUAAGAGAGAAAAUGGAUAGCAGUGGUGUAGUGAAAGAAAAAGGGUGUAGUUGGAUAGAAAUAAACAAUGAGGUUCAUUUGUUUAUUGCAAGAGACCGAAGUCAUCACCAAACUGAUUUGAUAUAUUCAUUUUUGGAACUUCUGAUUCAGAAUAUGAAAGGAAUCGGAUAUGUUCAUGAGGAUACUACCUUCUCAAAUGAGUAAAAUCUCUAUGUCAUUUUUGCCGUGAUAUGCUAUUAUCAAGAACACACUGAGCUAAGCGGUCGUAGAUGCCCAAAAUGACAAUUAGAAGCAAGUCUUUAUAUUAAAGUUCUAUUGCUGUUGAAAGGUUUCUUCUUUGAUUUGGCAGUGGAGCUUUAUCCAAUCAGACCAGGUACAAAACUGAAACUGUGGCACAAUAUGACCUCUUGCUACAAGGUUUUUGCUCUGAAUGGAAGAUAUGCAAGCAUAAGGAGUGAUACACCAGAUGGAAUCUUGCUGAAUAUGAUCGAUCGGGAGAGUAUUUAUUGCGUGCUGUGUCUCUAAUAUGUUGGGGAUGUGUGUCCUUGCGCAGUUUGGGAUAUGUGUCAAUUCAUACCUGUUGCUUGCAGUUUUGUGGAUAAUCAAUACAUGCAUGAUCAUCGUGACUGAGAACGUGCAAACCGUGUUUGUCAAGCCCCACAAACAAAUAUACCCUUGUGUGUGAUGAUAACUACCUCAGAUAGGAUCUUCUGAUUACUCGACAGAUUAUUGGGAAUCCUAAAUUUCAUUUGCCAGAAGGGAAUGCAUCCUUUGCACCAAGACACGAGGUGGUUGUUGCAUGUAGACUCAAUGGUUACACACAAUUAUGCUCAAAUCCAAUUUCCUGGUGUCAUCCUUCCAAACAGGUUCUCAAUGAAAUGUAAGAAUACGAGCGAUGACACUGUAAGUCUUCUUGAUCAUUUAAUUAUGAACUUGUGAACAAAGUCAAAUGAUUUGUGCUUUUGUGUCUGCAUAGUUAUACUAUAGUAAGAUGUGGCAAUUGAGAUAUCCAUUGAGCUAUUA
RNA transcript from Solanum pennellii, 3424 nucleotides. It is a transcript of the gene named pentatricopeptide repeat-containing protein At4g39530, with no coding region annotated. The record is from RefSeq and is a predicted model, not a curated record. The transcript is spliced from 3 exons. Lineage: Eukaryota; Viridiplantae; Streptophyta; Magnoliopsida; Solanales; Solanaceae.